GAAAUUAAAGAAGGUGGAGGAGAUGAAGGGACUAUCCUAGACAAAAUUUAAAAGUUUAGAGUUGAAAAGAUCUAAACAAUGGGAAGCAUCCACAAGACAAGAAUGGCAUAUAGAAAUCCAUUUCCUUUUGGACUUUUAAGCAAGCAACAAGCAUAAUCAUCCAAGCAAUUAAUAAGAAGACCAAAUGACAUCAAAUAAAUAUAGUCAAACAUCCAAG
This 217-nucleotide long non-coding RNA is filed under the name Lathyrus oleraceus (garden pea). RNAcentral describes it as "Pisum sativum (pea) long non-coding RNA (PSAT_LNC034731)". Lineage: Eukaryota; Viridiplantae; Streptophyta; Magnoliopsida; Fabales; Fabaceae. The record is from RNAcentral.